Molecule: long non-coding RNA, 476 nt
Filed under: Mustela putorius furo (domestic ferret)
Lineage: Eukaryota; Metazoa; Chordata; Mammalia; Carnivora; Mustelidae
Description: lncRNA (ENSMPUG00000028465.1)
Source: RNAcentral
CAAUCACAGAUUUCACAUAAGUGGAAGGUUUUUUGUUUUUUUCAAGUGAAAAACUGCUCUCUUGUCUCCGAUUUUUAACUUUUUUUUUUUUUUUUUCCUUCCAGCAUCAUUAGUCAACAACACACGGCCAAGGGUUAAGUUCUGACAUUUGAAAGGCCAUUAUAAGACCUUCACCUCUGUGAAAAUCACUGUAGCUACAGAUCACAAUCAACUCAUGCAAGUGAGACCGCACAGAAUGUUGUCCACGAGGGUGCAAUUUACAUGUUGAAAAGAACGUGUACUUCAGUUGAAGCCAUAACGCUGCAGGGUUUCGAAAGCAGAAUUAGAAAUGGCAGCCUAAGGGACAGAUGUGUCAUUUUGACCACUGGCUGGUCAUGAUCUCAAGGUCCUGGGAUCAAGCCCUUCAUGGAUCUCCAUGCUCAGCGUGGUGCCUGCUUCUCCCUCAGUCUCUGCUGUUCCCCUACCUGCUUAUUUUU